CCCUAGUAUUAAAAAUUUAAUAAGAUUAUUUGAUGAGAAAUAAAAGUUUUGGCGGUUGAUUAUUAUGAUAGAGGAGCUGUUUUAAUAGAAAUUACUCUUUAUAAUUUAUUAANUUUUGGUUUAAUUAUCUCCGUUAUAAGGUUAAAAACUUUAUAAAUUUUGGUUUUUAUUUCAGGUCAAGAUGUAGCAAUAAUUAGGAAAAAUUAGCUACAAUAAUGAAGUUAUAUGAAUUUAUAUAAAGGAAUAUUUUUAAUGAAAUUGAAUUUAAUUGUAAUUUAAUUUAAAAUGAUUAAGUGAAAAUUUAUGAUUAAUGUA
This 315-nucleotide ribosomal RNA is filed under the name Cosmetus sp. MZSP 73054. RNAcentral describes it as "partial small subunit ribosomal RNA". Lineage: Eukaryota; Metazoa; Arthropoda; Arachnida; Opiliones; Cosmetidae. The record is from RNAcentral.